This 425-nucleotide ribosomal RNA is filed under the name uncultured rumen bacterium. RNAcentral's name for it is "bacterial SSU rRNA". It matches the Rfam family "Bacterial small subunit ribosomal RNA", at positions 354 to 776 of the family's 1533-position model. The record is from RNAcentral.
GUGAGGAAUAUUGGUCAAUGGACGAGAGUCUGAACCAGCCAAGUAGCGUGCAGGAUGACGGCCCUAUGGGUUGUAAACUGCUUUUAUAUAGGGAUAAAGUGAUCUACGUGUAGAUUUUUGUAGGUACUAUAUGAAUAAGGACCGGCUAAUUCCGUGCCAGCAGCCGCGGUAAUACGGAAGGUCCAGGCGUUAUCCGGAUUUAUUGGGUUUAAAGGGAGCGCAGGCUGAUGAUUAAGCGUGACGUGAAAUGUAGCCGCUCAACGGCUGAACUGCGUCGCGAACUGGUUAUCUUGAGUGAGUUCGAUGUUGGCGGAAUUCGUGGUGUAGCGGUGAAAUGCUUAGAUAUCACGAAGAACUCCGAUUGCGAAGGCAGCCAACAAGGCCUUUACUGACGCUAAAGCUCGAAGGUGCGGGUAUCGAACAGG